RNAcentral lists this ribosomal RNA (292 nucleotides) under uncultured bacterium. RNAcentral's name for it is "partial 16S ribosomal RNA". It matches the Rfam family "Bacterial small subunit ribosomal RNA", at positions 505 to 796 of the family's 1533-position model. The record is from RNAcentral.
GUGCCAGCAGCCGCGGUAAUACGGAGGGUGCAAGCGUUGUCCGGAUUUAUUGGGUUUAAAGGGUGCGUAGGCGGUUAAUUAAGUCAGCGGUGAAAGACUACAGCUCAACUGUAGCAGUGCCAUUGAUACUGGUUAACUUGAGUAUUGUUGAGGUAUUUGGAAUUUAUAGUGUAGCGGUGAAAUGCAUAGAUACUAUAAGGAACACCGAUAGCGUAGGCAGAAUACUAAGCAAUAACUGACGCUGAGGCACGAAAGCGUGGGUAGCGAACAGGAUUAGAAACCCCAGUAGUCC